Molecule: long non-coding RNA, 867 nt
Organism: Equus caballus (horse)
Lineage: Eukaryota; Metazoa; Chordata; Mammalia; Perissodactyla; Equidae
Source: RefSeq, a predicted model, not a curated record
UGGAGACUGCCCCGCUCAGAAGCAGACGGUGACACCACUGGGGACUUGGUCCUGUGCUGGCCACCAGGCCGCUGAGUUAUCCCAAGGGCCUGCACUCGGUGCAGAGGCCCCAUUCCCACCUGGAGGGCCCUCAGCCUUCAGGAUUCCCUGGACCCCGGAGCAAAAUAAGGCACCUCCAUCCCAUCCCCCGGGCCCUGCGCUCUUCUGAUGCCUGCUAGAUUCCCACCCAGCCCUGCCGUCUAGACACAAGGUCCCUGCUGCAAGGGAAACCUGGCUUUUCUUGAUUUCUGAUCUCAAGGCAAGGAAGAGUGGUUCCCACUGACACUUCUCACACCCUCAUCUCACGAUUUCUUUAGUCUUCCGGCUCUGAUAACCAUUUCCGUACCAGCCACACGUAGAAAAUAAGGCUUAUUUCCUGCGCUCCACCCACCGUCACAAACAAGAGAAGGACUUCCAGCUGGUGCUCCCGACAACCCCCAUGGCUAUUGACUUCUUCCCGACUUAGCUGCUCAAGACAGUCACAAAUCUAGGAUUGGGUCCAUUAUGUAUUCAAGCCCCCUAACCUCAGAGGGAACCGCACAACUGCUCAGUUAUCUCUAUAAUCGCCCCUGGCUGAUUCACCUGUCACGUCCCUACAGGCUCCCAUUUUAACACCUGCCGGUCCUCAGGAGCACCUACCUUCUCCAUUGCCUCCUCUCUGAGAUUGUGCCCUUGCCACCAAAAUAGCUGACAAAAUGGAGAUCAGCUAUGAGCUAUCUCAGUAUCCUCUUAGUGACUUCAAAAUAGUUCUGCUUCUCCACUCAUUCCCCUCCUUCCCUCCUAUUUCAAAAGAAGCAGCAGCUUCCAAACCACAAUGAGAUACCACCU